GCCUGUCGGGACCCGAAAGAUG
This 22-nucleotide non-coding RNA is filed under the name Arabidopsis thaliana (thale cress). The record is from RNAcentral. Lineage: Eukaryota; Viridiplantae; Streptophyta; Magnoliopsida; Brassicales; Brassicaceae.